Molecule: ribosomal RNA, 441 nt
Filed under: uncultured bacterium
Lineage: Bacteria
Description: partial 16S ribosomal RNA
Rfam family: Bacterial small subunit ribosomal RNA
Source: RNAcentral
CCUACGGGAGGCAGCAGUGGGGGAUAUUGCACGAUGGGGGAAACCCUGAUGCAGCGACGCCGCGUGGGUGAAGAAGUAUUUCGGUAUGUAAAGCCCUAUCAGCAGGGAAGAAAGAAGACGGUACCUGACUAAGAAGCCCCGGCUAACUACGUGCCAGCAGCCGCGGUAAUACGUAGGGGGCGAGCGGUAUCCGGAUUCACUGGGUGUAAAGGGAGCGUAGACGGCCGUGCAAGCCAGGAGUGAAAGCCCGGGGCCCAACCCCGGGACUGCUCUUGGAACUGGGCGGCUGGAGUGCGGGAGGGGCAGGCGGAAUUCCUGGUGUAGCGGUGAAAUGCGUAGAUAUCAGGAGGAACACCGGCGGCGAAGGCGGCCUGCUGGACCGCGACUGACGUUGAGGCUCGAAAGCGUGGGGAGCGAACAGGAUUAGAUACCCGGGUAGUC